UACGGAGGGUGCAAGCGUUAAUCGGAAUUACUGGGCGUAAAGCGCACGCAGGCGGUUGGAUAAGUUAGAUGUGAAAGCCCCGGGCUCAACCUGGGAAUUUCAAGUGAAACUGUUCAGCUAGAGUCCUGUAGAGGGGGGUAGAAUUCCAGGUGUAGCGGUGAAAUGCGUAGAGAUCUGGAGGAAUACCGGAGGCGAAGGCGGACCCCUGGACUAAGACUGACGCUCAGGUGCGAAAGCGUGGGGAGCAAACAGG
RNAcentral lists this ribosomal RNA (253 nucleotides) under uncultured bacterium. RNAcentral's name for it is "partial 16S ribosomal RNA". It matches the Rfam family "Bacterial small subunit ribosomal RNA", at positions 524 to 776 of the family's 1533-position model. The record is from RNAcentral.